RNAcentral lists this ribosomal RNA (497 nucleotides) under uncultured bacterium. RNAcentral describes it as "partial 16S ribosomal RNA". It matches the Rfam family "Bacterial small subunit ribosomal RNA", at positions 28 to 507 of the family's 1533-position model. The record is from RNAcentral.
GAUGAACGCUGGCGGCGUGCCUAAUACAUGCAAGUCGAGCGAACAGAUGAGGAGCUUGCUCCUCUGACGUUAGCGGCGGACGGGUGAGUAACACGUGGAUAACCUACCUAUAAGACUGGGAUAACUUCGGGAAACCGGAGCUAAUACCGGAUAAUAUAUUGAACCGCAUGGUUCAAUAGUGAAAGACGGUUUUGCUGUCACUUAUAGAUGGAUCCGCGCCGCAUUAGCUAGUUGGUAAGGUAACGGCUUACCAAGGCAACGAUGCGUAGCCGACCUGAGAGGGUGAUCGGCCACACUGGACCUGAGACACGGUCCAGACUCCUACGGGAGGCAGCAGUAGGGAAUCUUCCGCAAUGGGCGAAAGCCUGACGGAGCAACGCCGCGUGAGUGAUGAAGGUCUUCUGAUCGUAAAACUCUGUUAUUAGGGAAGAACAAAUGUGUAAGUAACUAUGCACGUCUUGACGGUACCUAAUCAGAAAGCCACGGCUAACUACGUG